CCUACGGGAGGCAGCAGUGGGGAAUAUUGCGCAAUGGGGGGAACACUGACGCAGCGACGCCGCGUGAAGGAAGAAGGCCUUCGGGUUGUAAACUUCUUUGAUUGGGGAAGAAAAAUGACGGUACCCAAAG
RNAcentral lists this ribosomal RNA (130 nucleotides) under Clostridium sp. enrichment culture clone gang 7. Its description in RNAcentral is "partial 16S ribosomal RNA". It matches the Rfam family "Bacterial small subunit ribosomal RNA", at positions 338 to 484 of the family's 1533-position model. Lineage: Bacteria; Bacillati; Bacillota; Clostridia; Eubacteriales; Clostridiaceae. The record is from RNAcentral.